RNAcentral lists this small RNA (465 nucleotides) under Pongo abelii (Sumatran orangutan). RNAcentral's name for it is "retained intron". Lineage: Eukaryota; Metazoa; Chordata; Mammalia; Primates; Hominidae. The record is from RNAcentral.
UUUUAUCUUCAUCUCGAAGUGCAAGAGUCCAGUUUCAUCUUAUGGAGUUAAAUAGAUCAGUCUGCUUGGAAUGCCCUGAGUUUCAGAUUCCAUGGUUUCAUGACCGCUUCUGUCAACAAUUUAAUAAAGGUAUUGGUGGCAUGGAUGGAGCACAACAGCAGAUUUAUAAAAUGUUAGCAGAGGUACUAGGAGGAAUCAAUUGUGUAAAAGCCUCGGUUCUUACGCCUUAUUACUACAAAGUAGGUAAGUUAUUGGGUAGGUUAUUAGUUACUUUCAGAAAAUCAAACUAAUUUGAAUAGAAUCAUCUUAUCAGUUGGAAUUUUUAAAAGUUUUUUGAAUUUUUUUCAAGUUGUUAUUAUUAUUAAAAUUUUCAAACAGAGGUAGAAAGAGCAAUAGAAUAAAUCCUCAAGUUCCCGUGGCCCAGUGUUGAUAACCAAGAGCGUUUUCUAUUCUUUAGAAAAAAAA